This 225-nucleotide unclassified non-coding RNA is filed under the name air metagenome. RNAcentral describes it as "partial contains small subunit ribosomal RNA, internal transcribed spacer 1, and 5.8S ribosomal RNA". The stretch from base 1 to 46 matches the Rfam family "Eukaryotic small subunit ribosomal RNA", at positions 1786 to 1831 of the family's 1831-position model. The record is from RNAcentral.
AAGUCGUAACAAGGUCUCCGUUGGUGAACCAGCGGAGGGAUCAUUACCGAGUUUACAACUCCCAAACCCCUGUGAACAUACCUUAUUGUUGCCUCGGCGGAUCAGCCCGCUCCCCGUAAUACGGGACGGCCCGCCAGAGGACCCAAACUCUAUUGUCUUUAGUGUAUCUUCUGAGUAAAACAAACAAAUAAAUCAAAACUUUCAACAACGGAUCUCUUGGUUCUG